Molecule: ribosomal RNA, 253 nt
Filed under: uncultured bacterium
Lineage: Bacteria
Description: partial 16S ribosomal RNA
Rfam family: Bacterial small subunit ribosomal RNA
Source: RNAcentral
UACGGAGGGGGCUAGCGUUGUUCGGAAUUACUGGGCGUAAAGCGCACGUAGGCGGCUUCUCAAGUCAGAGGUGAAAGCCCAGGGCUCAACCCCGGAACUGCCUUUGAGACUGCAAAGCUCGAAUGCGGGAGAGGCGGGUGGAAUUCCGAGUGUAGCGGUGAAAUUCGUAGAUAUUCGGAAGAACACCAGUGGCGAAGGCGGCCCACUGGACCUGCAUUGACGCUGAGGUGCGAAAGCGUGGGGAGCAAACAGG